This 254-nucleotide ribosomal RNA is filed under the name uncultured bacterium. RNAcentral describes it as "partial 16S ribosomal RNA". It matches the Rfam family "Bacterial small subunit ribosomal RNA", at positions 524 to 776 of the family's 1533-position model. The record is from RNAcentral.
UACGUAGGGAGCAAGCGUUGUUCGGAUUUACUGGGCGUAAAGGGCGCGUAGGCGGCAGAUCAAGUCAGUUGUGAAAUCUCUGAGCUUAACUCAGAACUGUCAACUGAUACUGUUCUGCUAGAGUGCGGAAGGGGCAAUCGGAAUUCUUGGUGUAGCGGUGAAAUGCGUAGAUAUCAAGAGGAACACCUGAGGUGAAGACGGGUUGCUGGGCCGACACUGACGCUGAGUGCGCGAAAGCCAGGGGAGCAAACGGG